Molecule: ribosomal RNA, 465 nt
Filed under: uncultured bacterium
Lineage: Bacteria
Description: partial 16S ribosomal RNA
Rfam family: Bacterial small subunit ribosomal RNA
Source: RNAcentral
GACGAACGCUGGCGGCGUGCUUAACACAUGCAAGUCGUACGGUAAGGCCCUUUCGGGGGUACACGAGUGGCGAACGGGUGAGUAACACGUGAGUAACCUGCCCACAACUUUGGGAUAACGCUAGGAAACUGGUGCUAAUACUGGAUAUGUGCUCCUGCUGCAUGGUGGGGGUUGGAAAGCUCCGGCGGUUGUGGAUGGACUCGCGGCCUAUCAGCUUGUUGGUGGGGUAGUGGCCUACCAAGGCGGCGACGGGUAGCCGGCCUGAGAGGGUGACCGGCCACAUUGGGACUGAGAAACGGCCCAGACUCCUACGGGAGGCAGCAGUGGGGAAUAUUGCACAAUGGGCGCAAGGCUGAUGCAGCAACGCCGCGGGCGGGAUGACGGCCUUCGGGUUGUAAACCGCUUUCAGCAGGGACGAAGCUUUUUGUGACGGUACCUGCAGAAGAAGCACCGGCUAACUUCGUG